This 2897-nucleotide ribosomal RNA is filed under the name Proteus mirabilis. RNAcentral describes it as "bacterial LSU rRNA". It matches the Rfam family "Bacterial large subunit ribosomal RNA". Lineage: Bacteria; Pseudomonadati; Pseudomonadota; Gammaproteobacteria; Enterobacterales; Morganellaceae. The record is from RNAcentral.
UAAGCGAAUAAGCGUACACGGUGGAUGCCUAGGCAAUCAGAGGCGAUGAAGGACGUGCUAAUCUGCGAAAAGCGUCGGUAAGGUGAUAUGAACCGCUAUACCCGACGAUAUCCGAAUGGGGAAACCCAGUAUCCAAUGGAUACUAUCAUUAACUGAAUCCAUAGGUUAAUGAGGCGAACCGGGAGAACUGAAACAUCUCAGUACCCCGAGGAAAAGAAAUCAACCGAGAUUCCCCUAGUAGCGGCGAGCGAACGGGGAGCAGCCCAGAGUCUUAAUCAAUAGCAGUGUCAGGAGAACGGUCUGGAAAGUCCGGCAGUAAAGGGUGAUAGCCCCGUAUCUGAAGAUGCUGUUAUUGUGAACUCGACGAGUAGGGCGGGACACGUGUUAUCCUGUCUGAAUAUGGGGGGACCAUCCUCCAAGGCUAAAUACUCCUGAUUGACCGAUAGUGAACCAGUACCGUGAGGGAAAGGCGAAAAGAACCCCGGCGAGGGGAGUGAAAAAGAACCUGAAACCGUGUACGUACAAGCAGUAGGAGCCUCUUUAUGGGGUGACUGCGUACCUUUUGUAUAAUGGGUCAGCGACUUAUAUUCUGUAGCGAGGUUAACCGCAUAGGGGAGCCGUAGGGAAACCGAGUCUUAACUGGGCGAAUGAGUUGCAGGGUAUAGACCCGAAACCCGGUGAUCUAUCCAUGGGCAGGUUGAAGGUUGGGUAACACUAACUGGAGGACCGAACCGACUAAUGUUGAAAAAUUAGCGGAUGACUUGUGGAUGGGGGUGAAAGGCCAAUCAAACCGGGAGAUAGCUGGUUCUCCCCGAAAGCUAUUUAGGUAGCGCCUCGUGAACUCAUCUUCGGGGGUAGAGCACUGUUUCGACUAGGGGGUCAUCCCGACUUACCAACUCGAUGCAAACUGCGAAUACCGAAGAAUGUUAUCACGGGAGACACACGGCGGGUGCUAACGUCCGUCGUGAAGAGGGAAACAACCCAGACCGCCAGCUAAGGUCCCAAAGUCAUGGUUAAGUGGGAAACGAAGUGGGAAGGCUCAGACAGCCAGGAUGUUGGCUUAGAAGCAGCCAUCAUUUAAAGAAAGCGUAAUAGCUCACUGGUCGAGUCGGCCCGCGCGGAAGAUGUAACGGGGCUAAACCAUGCACCGAAGCUGCGGCAGCGACACAAAGUGUUGUUGGGUAGGGGAGCGUUCUGUAAGCCUGCGAAGGUGUACUGUGAGGUAUGCUGGAGGUAUCAGAAGUGCGAAUGCUGACAUAAGUAACGAUAAUGCGGGUGAAAAACCCGCACGCCGGAAGACCAAGGGUUCCUGUCCAACGUUAAUCGGGGCAGGGUGAGUCGACCCCUAAGGCGAGGCUGAAAAGCGUAGUCGAUGGGAAACGGGUUAAUAUUCCCGUACUGGUGGUAACUGCGAUGGGGGAACGGAGAAGGCUAGGUUGUCCGGGCGACGGUCGUCCCGGUUCAAGCAGGUAGGCAGAGUGAUUAGGCAAAUCCGGUCACUUAAUGCUGAGAUGUGAUGACGAGCCACCAAGGUGGUGAAGCAAUUGAUGCCCCGCUUCCAGGAAAAGCCUCUAAGCUUCAGGUUACCAACAAUCGUACCCCAAACCGACACAGGUGGUCAGGUAGAGAAUACUCAGGCGCUUGAGAGAACUCGGGUGAAGGAACUAGGCAAAAUGGUGCCGUAACUUCGGGAGAAGGCACGCUGGCGGUAGGUAAAGUCCCUCGCGGACGGCGCUGAAGCCAGUCGAAGAUACCAGCUGGCUGCAACUGUUUAUUAAAAACACAGCACUGUGCAAACACGAAAGUGGACGUAUACGGUGUGACGCCUGCCCGGUGCUGGAAGGUUAAUUGAUGGGGUUAGCGUAAGCGAAGCUCCUGAUCGAAGCCCCAGUAAACGGCGGCCGUAACUAUAACGGUCCUAAGGUAGCGAAAUUCCUUGUCGGGUAAGUUCCGACCUGCACGAAUGGCGUAAUGAUGGCCAGGCUGUCUCCACCCGAGACUCAGUGAAAUUGAACUCGCUGUGAAGAUGCAGUGUACCCGCGGCAAGACGGAAAGACCCCGUGAACCUUUACUAUAGCUUGACACUGAACAUUGAGCCUUGAUGUGUAGGAUAGGUGGGAGGCUUUGAAGUGUGGACGCCAGUCUGCAUGGAGCCAACCUUGAAAUACCACCCUUUAACGUUUGAUGUUCUAACCUAGGCCCAUAAACUGGGUCGGGGACCGUGUCUGGUGGGUAGUUUGACUGGGGCGGUCUCCUCCUAAAGAGUAACGGAGGAGCACGAAGGUUGGCUAAGCAUGGUCGGACAUCAUGCGGUUAGUGCAAAGGCAUAAGCCAGCUUGACUGCGAGAGUGACGGCUCGAGCAGGUACGAAAGUAGGUCUUAGUGAUCCGGUGGUUCUGAAUGGAAGGGCCAUCGCUCAACGGAUAAAAGGUACUCCGGGGAUAACAGGCUGAUACCGCCCAAGAGUUCAUAUCGACGGCGGUGUUUGGCACCUCGAUGUCGGCUCAUCACAUCCUGGGGCUGAAGUAGGUCCCAAGGGUAUGGCUGUUCGCCAUUUAAAGUGGUACGCGAGCUGGGUUUAGAACGUCGUGAGACAGUUCGGUCCCUAUCUGCCGUGGGCGUUGGAAGAUUGAGAGGGGUUGCUCCUAGUACGAGAGGACCGGAGUGAACGCACCACUGGUGUUCGGGUUGUCAUGCCAAUGGCAUUGCCCGGUAGCUAAGUGCGGAAGAGAUAACCGCUGAAAGCAUCUAAGCGGGAAACUUGCCUCGAGAUGAGUCUUCCCUGUCGCUUUAAGCGACCUAAAGGAACGUUUAAGACUAAGACGUUGAUAGGCUGGGUGUGUAAGCGUAGCGAUACGUUGAGCUAACCAGUACUAAUGAACCGUGAGGCUUAACCU